Molecule: ribosomal RNA, 727 nt
Filed under: Vishniacozyma victoriae
Lineage: Eukaryota; Fungi; Basidiomycota; Tremellomycetes; Tremellales; Bulleribasidiaceae
Description: LSU rRNA
Rfam family: Eukaryotic large subunit ribosomal RNA
Source: RNAcentral
CCCCACAUAUUCAUGAUCUGGCCUCAAAUCAGGUAGGGCUACCCGCUGAACUUAAGCAUAUCAAUAAGCGGAGGAAAAGAAACUAACUAGGAUUCCCUUAGUAACGGCGAGUGAACCGGGAUGAGCUCAAAUUUAAAAUCUGGCGUCUUUCAGGCGUCCGAGUUGUAAUCUAUAGAGGCGUUUUCCGCGCCGGACCGCGUCCAAGUCUCUUGGAAUAGAGUAUCAAAGAGGGUGACAAUCCCGUACUUGACGCGACAACCGGUGCUCUGUGAUACGUUCUCAAUGAGUCGAGUUGUUUGGGAAUGCAGCUCUAAAUGGGUGGUAAAUUCCAUCUAAGGCUAAAUAUUGGCGAGAGACCGAUAGCGAACAAGUACCGUGAGGGAAAGAUGAAAAGCACUUUGGAAAGAGAGUUAAACAGCACGUGAAAUUGUUAAAAGGGAAACGAUUGAAGUCAGUCGUGUGAAAGGUAUUCAGCCGUCUCUGGCGGUGUAUUUGCCUUUCACGGGUCAACAUCAGUUUGAUCCGGUAGAAAAAGGCGGGAGGAAGGUGGCACCCUCGGGUGUGUUAUAGCCUCCUGUCAUAUGUGCCGGACCAGACUGAGGAACGCAGCUUGCCGCAAGGCCGGGGUUCGCCCACGUACAAGCUUAGGAUGUUGACAUAAUGGCUUUAAACGACCCGUCUUGAAACACGGACCAAGGAGUCUAACAUAUCUGCGAGUGUUUGGGUG